UUAAAGGUGGCUUUCGGGCUGUCGCAGAUGGAUGAGCCUGCGUUGGAUUAGCUAGUUGGUGGGGUAAGGGCCCACCAAGGCUACGAUCCAUAGCUGAUUUGAGAGGAUGAUCAGCCACAUUGGGACUGAGACACGGCCCAAACUCCUACGGGAGGCAGCAGUGGGGAAUAUUGGACAAUGGGGGCAACCCUGAUCCAGCAAUGCCAUGUGUGUGAAGAAGGCCCUAGGGUUGUAAAGCACUUUAGUUGGGGAGGAAAGCCUCAAGGUUAAUAGCCUUGGGGGAGGACGUUACCCAAAGAAUAAGCACCGGCUAACUCCGUGCCAGCAGCCGCGGUAAUACGGGGGGUGCAAGCGUUAAUCGGAAUUACUGGGCGUAAAGGGUCUGUAGGUGGUUUGUUAAGUCAGAUGUGAAAGCCCAGGGCUCAACCUUGGAACUGCAUUUGAUACUGGCAAACUAGAGUACGGUAGAGGAAUGGGGAAUUUCUGGUGUAGCGGUGAAAUGCGUAGAGAUCAGAAGGAACACCAAUGGCGAAGGCAACAUUCUGGACCGAUACUGACACUGAGGGACGAAAGCGUGGGGAUCAAACAGGAUUAGAUACCCUGGUAGUCCACGCUGUAAACGAUGAGUACUAGCUGUUGGAGUCGGUGUAAAGGCUCUAGUGGCGCAGCUAACGCGAUAAGUACUCCGCCUGGGGACUACGGCCGCAAGGCUAAAACUCAAAGGAAUUGACGGGGACCCGCACAAGCGGUGGAGCAUGUGGUUUAAUUCGAUGCAACGCGAAGAACCUUACCUGGUCUUGACAUCCUGCGAACUUUCUAGAGAUAGAUUGGUGCCUUCGGGAACGCAGUGACAGGUGCUGCACGGCUGUCGUCAGCUCGUGUUGUGAAAUGUUGGGUUAAGUCCCGCAACGAGCGCAACCCCUAUUGAUAGUUACCAUCAUUAAGUUGGGUACUCUAUUAAGACUGCCGCUGACAAGGCGGAGGAAGGUGGGGACGACGUCAAGUCAUCAUGGCCCUUACGACCAGGGCUACACACGUGCUACAAUGGGUA
Molecule: ribosomal RNA, 1051 nt
Filed under: Francisella tularensis subsp. holarctica
Lineage: Bacteria; Pseudomonadati; Pseudomonadota; Gammaproteobacteria; Thiotrichales; Francisellaceae
Description: bacterial SSU rRNA
Rfam family: Bacterial small subunit ribosomal RNA
Source: RNAcentral